This 207-nucleotide ribosomal RNA is filed under the name uncultured bacterium. RNAcentral's name for it is "partial 16S ribosomal RNA". It matches the Rfam family "Bacterial small subunit ribosomal RNA", at positions 1296 to 1500 of the family's 1533-position model. The record is from RNAcentral.
GAUUGUAGGCUGAAACUCGCCUACAUGAAGCUGGAGUUGCUAGUAAUCGCGAAUCAGCAUGUCGCGGUGAAUACGUUCCCGGGCCUUGUACACACCGCCCGUCACACCAUGAGAGUUGGCAAUACCCAACGUACGUGAUCUAACCCGCAAGGGAGGAAGCGUCCUAAGGUAGGGUCAGCGAUUGGGGUGAAGUCGUAACAAGGUAAC